RNAcentral lists this unclassified non-coding RNA (409 nucleotides) under soil metagenome. Its description in RNAcentral is "partial contains 5.8S ribosomal RNA, internal transcribed spacer 2, and large subunit ribosomal RNA". The stretch from base 1 to 121 matches the Rfam family "5.8S ribosomal RNA", at positions 35 to 154 of the family's 154-position model. The record is from RNAcentral.
GAUGAAGAACGCAGCGAAAUGCGAUAAGUAGUGUGAAUUGCAGAAGUACCGUGAAUCAUCGAAUCUUUGAACGCAAAUUGCACUCUCUGGUAUUCCGGGGAGUAUGCCUGUUUGAGGGUCGCUUAACAAACCAUCGAUUUCGUUGCUUUUUUUUUAAAAAGUGAUGUUUAUCGGAUUUGAGCCGUCUUUUUUUUUUAUAUUUAAGUGGCUUAAAAUUGAUUUUUUUGGUACGAUCGAAGCGUAUUUUUAUGAUCUAUUUUUGGUUAAAGAAACGCACACGUACCGUUAUUUAUAUGAUGUAAUACGUUUGACUAUUGGAUUUAGUUCAUUCGUAUACGAUAUUUUUCAAUAUUUGACCUCAAAUCAGGUAAGAACACCCGCUGAACUUAAGCAUAUCAAAAGCGGAGGA